This 432-nucleotide long non-coding RNA is filed under the name Malus domestica (apple). Its description in RNAcentral is "long non-coding RNA (MDOM_LNC017880)". The record is from RNAcentral. Lineage: Eukaryota; Viridiplantae; Streptophyta; Magnoliopsida; Rosales; Rosaceae.
ACUCGUAAUUUAUGUUUUUAGAGGUAUCACAACUUCAGUUGGGAUUAGUUACUACCUUGCAACCUUUUGGGUUUUAAGCAUCGUUAUAUUCUAAACAGUUAACACUACCAUAUCAUCUCUACUAUAGAGACAAUCAAUUAGAUUACAAUAAUCCAAUCAUUCAUUAAUAAAGAACAAUGUUUUGUCAAACAAAACAUUCAUCCAUCUCUACUAUAGUGACGGAAUUAAGUUCCUUAAAAUUGGAAUGUAAAGACAAUCUUUGGUUUUUCCAAUUUCUUUGGUAGUUCAUAUGAGGAAGUUAGUACAAUCUGCUUUCGCAGAGAUCUUUAUUUUAUUCACGUUUCGAUUGUGAAGUACUUUUCUCUUCUCUCAUUAAUCUUCUACUUCUUAUUAGUCACACUUUUACAACGAUUGUAAAACAUAGUUACUAAU